ACUACCCCCUGAACAUGACUGAUGUCUCUAAUCUGAUGCAAAGGUGGGUUGGGCCUGGUUAGUACUCAGAUGGGAGGCCAUCUGGGAAUGUCAGGUGUU
RNAcentral lists this ribosomal RNA (99 nucleotides) under Dasypus novemcinctus (nine-banded armadillo). The record is from RNAcentral. Lineage: Eukaryota; Metazoa; Chordata; Mammalia; Cingulata; Dasypodidae.